RNAcentral lists this unclassified non-coding RNA (269 nucleotides) under Hevea brasiliensis (rubber tree). The record is from RNAcentral. Lineage: Eukaryota; Viridiplantae; Streptophyta; Magnoliopsida; Malpighiales; Euphorbiaceae.
GUUUCAUAAAUAGAGUAUGAUCUGUAUUACUUUGAUAGUAUUCAAAAGAUAUCAUAGCCUUACUAAAUCUAUCAAACUAUGCUCUAGGUGACUAUUUUAGAACAUACAACCUGUAAACUUUCCCUUUGGUUUUGUUAUCAUCAAAUCCUGGAGGAAUCUCCAUAUGCACUUCAUCUUAAGUCUUCAUGCACAAAAAGCAUUUUUUACAUCAAAUUGCUGUGGGUCCCAUUCAAGAUUUGCUGCACAUAAGGCUCAGAUUCUCUAAAGGU